ACGAGAUGGACGUUUGUUCUGAUACCGAUAUACGAGUCUUUUCGUGUACUCGAUAUGCAAAUAUCGUUGUUUAUGAUCACUUGAGUGAAGCACAGACGACAAACCUUGCUUCACAUUACGUAACAGUCAUCUAGACUGUCAGGACCGGUACCAACUAUACGCCAUCAGGACCGACUGAUCCAAUAUCAGGAAUGCAGGUCUAGUUACAGAUGUUUAGCAGCAAACCACACUGGGACAAGAGACACGAAAGCUUAAUACUACCGUCAGUGACCUGAGUGAAAUCACAAGACCAGUCACAGUGUCGUCCUUGACGAAUCUUUUCCAAGAUGACUCAUUCUGAGUUCCAAAAGUUACUUCCCUUCGUAACUACCGGAUGGUAUAGUGAUAAGCUGGAGAGCCGAGCGGUGUGAGAAUGAGAAGACUUAGCACUUUGGAAAAAAAACGGGACAUUUUAACAUAUAAGUAGUAUUGUAACUAUAUUGUGUAUGAAGUUAGCAUGUCAUUGUAUAUUGUGAACAAGAGGUAUUUGCUUUAAUGAUACAAUAAUAAUAAUAAAAAAAAAACCAACGAUGCCACAAUUUAAUUUUAUACUGUUGUUCA
Molecule: long non-coding RNA, 600 nt
Organism: Ylistrum balloti
Lineage: Eukaryota; Metazoa; Mollusca; Bivalvia; Pectinida; Pectinidae
Exons: 3
Source: RefSeq, a predicted model, not a curated record